GUCAGAAAAGUUACCAUAGAAAAACUUUUUGAUCCUUUGGUGUCGGCUCUUACUAUCAUUGUGAAGUGCUGGGUCGUUCACCCAGUGAUAGGGAACAUGAGCUGGGUUUAAACCAUUGUGAGACAGGCU
RNAcentral lists this non-coding RNA (129 nucleotides) under Oreochromis niloticus (Nile tilapia). RNAcentral's name for it is "Eukaryotic large subunit ribosomal RNA". It matches the Rfam family "Eukaryotic large subunit ribosomal RNA", at positions 2805 to 2984 of the family's 3401-position model. The record is from Rfam by way of RNAcentral. RNAcentral also lists the same sequence under 1 other name. Lineage: Eukaryota; Metazoa; Chordata; Actinopteri; Cichliformes; Cichlidae.